GAUGAACGCUGGCGGCGUGCCUAAUACAUGCAAGUCGAGCGAACAGACGAGGAGCUUGCUCCUUCGACGUUAGCGGCGGACGGGUGAGUAACACGUAGGUAACCUACCUAUAAGACUGGGAUAACUUCGGGAAACCGGAGCUAAUACCGGAUAAUAUUUCGAACCGCAUGGUUCGAUAGUGAAAGAUGGCUUUGCUAUCACUUAUAGAUGGACCUGCGCCGUAUUAGCUAGUUGGUAAGGUAACGGCUUACCAAGGCAACGAUACGUAGCCGACCUGAGAGGGUGAUCGGCCACACUGGAACUGAGCCACGGUCCAGACUCCUACGGGAGGCAGCAGUAGGGAAUCUUCCGCAAUGGGCGAAAGCCUGACGGAACAACGCCGCGUGAGUGAUGAAGGUCUUCGGAUCGUAAAACUCUGUUAUUAGGGAAGAACAAACGUGUAAGUAACUGUGCACGUAUUGACGGUACCUAAUCAGAAAGCCACGGCUAACUACGUG
RNAcentral lists this ribosomal RNA (497 nucleotides) under uncultured bacterium. Its description in RNAcentral is "partial 16S ribosomal RNA". It matches the Rfam family "Bacterial small subunit ribosomal RNA", at positions 28 to 507 of the family's 1533-position model. The record is from RNAcentral.